UACGAAGGGUGCAAGCGUUGCUCGGAAUCAUUGGGCGUAAAGCGCACGUAGGCGGGUAUGUAAGUCGAUUGUGAAAGCCCUGGGCUCAACCCGGGUAUUGCAGUCGAUACUGCAAAUCUUGAGUGCUUGAGAGGAUGGCGGAAUUCCUGGUGUAGUAGUGAAAUACGUAGAUAUCAGGAGGAACACCGGAGGCGAAAGCGGCUAUCUGGCGAGACACUGACGCUGAGGUGCGAAAGCGUGGGGAUCAAACAG
This 252-nucleotide ribosomal RNA is filed under the name uncultured bacterium. Its description in RNAcentral is "partial 16S ribosomal RNA". It matches the Rfam family "Bacterial small subunit ribosomal RNA", at positions 524 to 775 of the family's 1533-position model. The record is from RNAcentral.